GACGAACGCUGGCGGCGCGCUUAACACAUGCAAGUCGAGCGAUGAAAUUUCGACAGAUCCCUUCGGGGUGAAGAUGAAAUGGAUUAGCGGCGGACGGGUGAGUAACACGUGAGUAACCUGCCUUUGACAUUGGGAUAGCCUCGGGAAACUUGGAUUAAUACCAAAUGACACUAACUGAUCACAUGAUCAAUUAGUCAAAGAAAUUCGGUCAAAGAUGGACUCGCGGCUGAUUAGCUAGUUGGUGAGGUAACGGCCCACCAAGGCGACGAUCAGUAGCCGGCCUGAGAGGGUGAGCGGCGACAUUGGAACUGAGACACGGUCCAAACUACUACGGGAGGCAGCAGUGGGGAAUAUUGCACAAUGGGGGAAACCCUGAUGCAGCGACGCCGCGUGAGCGAAGAAGGCCUUCGGGUCGUAAAGCUCUUUUAUGAGGGAAGAUAAUGACGGUACCUAAAGAAAAAGCCCCGGCUAACUACGUG
Molecule: ribosomal RNA, 479 nt
Filed under: uncultured bacterium
Lineage: Bacteria
Description: partial 16S ribosomal RNA
Rfam family: Bacterial small subunit ribosomal RNA
Source: RNAcentral